CUCCGGUUGAUCCGCCCGGACCCGACUGCUAUCAGAGUGGGACUAAGCCAUGCGAGUCAACAUAGCAAUAUGUGGCAUACGGCUCAGUAACACGUAGUCAACAUGCCCAGGGGACGUGGAUAACCUCGGGAAACUGAGGAUAAACCGCGAUAGGUCAUCACUUCUGGAAUGGGUAAUGACUUAAAUCUAUAUGGCCCCUGGAUUGGACUGCGGCCGAUCAGGCUGUUGGUGAGGUAAUGGCCCACCAAACCUGUAACCGGUACGGGCUCUGAGAGGAGGAGCCCGGAGAUGGGCACUGAGACAAGGGCCCAGGCCCUAUGGGGCGCAGCAGGCGCGAAACCUCUGCAAUAGGCGAAAGCUUGACAGGGUUACUCUGAGUGAUUUCCGUUAAGGAGAUCUUUUGGCACCUCUAAAAAUGGUGCAGAAUAAGGGGUGGGCAAGUCUGGUGUCAGCCGCCGCGGUAAUACCAGCACCCCGAGUGGUCGGGACGUUUAUUGGGCCUAAAGCAUCCGUAGCCGGUUCUACAAGUCUUCCGUUAAAUCCACCUGCUUAACAGAUGGGCUGCGGAAGAUACUAUAGAGCUAGGAGGCGGGAGAGGCAAGCGGUACUCGAUGGGUAGGGGUAAAAUCCGUUGAUCCAUUGAAGACCACCAGUGGCGAAGGCGGCUUGCCAGAACGCGCUCGACGGUGAGGGAUGAAAGCUGGGGGAGCAAACCGGAUUAGAUACCCGGGUAGUCCCAGCUGUAAACGAUGCAGACUCGGUGAUGAGUUGGCUUAUUGCUAACUCAGUGCCGCAGGGAAGCCGUUAAGUUUGCCGCCUGGGGAGUACGGUCGCAAGACUGAAACUUAAAGGAUUGGCGGGGGAGCA
This 867-nucleotide ribosomal RNA is filed under the name uncultured archaeon. RNAcentral's name for it is "bacterial SSU rRNA". It matches the Rfam family "Archaeal small subunit ribosomal RNA", at positions 1 to 878 of the family's 1478-position model. The record is from RNAcentral.